This 87-nucleotide unclassified non-coding RNA is filed under the name Pseudomonas fragi. Lineage: Bacteria; Pseudomonadati; Pseudomonadota; Gammaproteobacteria; Pseudomonadales; Pseudomonadaceae. The record is from RNAcentral.
UGUGGGAGCGGGCUUGCUCGCGAUGGUAUCGACGCGGUUUUCCUGCAUUACCGCGCCGCCUGAAUCGCAAGCAAGCCCGCUCCCACA